Molecule: long non-coding RNA, 2244 nt
Organism: Capsicum annuum
Lineage: Eukaryota; Viridiplantae; Streptophyta; Magnoliopsida; Solanales; Solanaceae
Exons: 9
Source: RefSeq, a predicted model, not a curated record
ACCAAAUAAUAUGUAAUGAAAAAAAAGUCAAGCAAUUGCUCACGCUACUCUCUAUAAAUAAAAAUACAAGAUAGAGAAUUGGGGAAUGGAAAUAUAAAAUAACCGACAGCAAAACUCCCCUUUUUCGUUUUCUUUCAUCCCUCCUCUUCUUCCUCACAUCAUCAUAUUUGGACGUGACCAUACCUUUUCACUGAGAAAUUUGCUGGAUUGGGUUGAUCUCACUAUGCCAUAUAUAUAAUAGCUAGCGUCUUUUCAAAUUUCUUUUUUUUUUUUUCAAUUACUUUGUGGAUCAUUUACAUUGUAAUAAGCAUCAAAUUUAUUACAUGAUGAAUUCAAUUAAAAGAAUAUCACGUUCUUCGUACUCGUUUGUUCCAUUUUACUUGUCACAAUUUUUUUCAUUGUAUUUCUACUUUUAUUUAUCAUUUUUGACAUAUCAAGAAAAGAUAAUUUUUUUUUUUUUUUUUUUAUCCUUAGUAUUAAUUAUUUUUUUAAAUUAAAAUAUAAACAUCAUUUAAUAGAGUAACUACGAUAAAAUAAUUAUGCUAUUAAUUAGUCUUCUUAAUUAAUAUAUUAAAUUAAAUUGUGACAAUUGUAAUUGAAACGACUGGGGUACAUCGAAUUCACUUAGCAAUUACAAAAAGCAUAAUGGGCUGGCUAAAUGACUUUUGGCCUUUCAGAUGAAAGAUAAAUGGAUUGUUCUAGGGCUUUUUAUUUUAUAUCUGAUAAGCCCAAAAAUCUGCAAAUUUCAUCUUAUAUCCGUAAAUCAGUAGAUUUGGGCAAAAAACAGUUGCAAUCUUUUUUUUUUUUUUUUCUUACAGUAGAAAAGUAGGAUUUCUCUGUAUUUUCGGAUGAGGUAUUUUUGACAGAUGUUGUCUUCAGCAAAACCCGCUACUCUUCUUGAUUUGGUCAUCGUUAUCUAUUUUUCUCCUCGCUUGUCAUCUUCCCUAUUCUUCUCAGUUGUUGGCACUUUUUCCUCUCAACUUGCGACAAAGAAGAUUUAGGAGACUGAGUAGGUGGAGUCAAAUCACAUUUUGCUAUUUACUGGUCAAGGCAGAAAGAAAAAGGAAGCUCGGUUUGCCACCAGAAGAUCCCGCUUCCCCCAAACCUUCUACUGCACCUGUUGUGGAGGAAAAAAAGAUGUUUAUUUAUUCAAAAACUCUGUUUAUAGAUUUGUCCGAUUCAGACAUAUAUUGUCCAACUCAAACUUUUUGUAUGUAUUUUUGUUAGAGCUCAUUUUUGCCUGUCAGACCAGCUACAAAGGCAGAGCGGAUGAGAGAGUGCCUGCGAACUCUUAAACGGACCCACAAGGAUGAUGAUGCCAAAGUCAAGACUGCUUUCAACACGCUGCCAACUUAUGCAAAGAAUGUCGCUACAAAUCCCAAUGAGAAGAAAUUUCGCAAGAUUAGACUUUUAGUAAUGCUGCUUUUCAGGGCCACAAGAAAUGGAUAACUGGUAUUUCUUGGGAACCUGUACACCUCAGUGCUCCAUGUCGCCGAUUUGUAAGUGCAAGUAAAGAUGGUGAUGCACGGAUAUGGGAUGUUACCACAAGGAAGUGUCUCAUUUGCCUCACUGACCAUACACUUGCAAUAACAUGUGUAAAAUGGGGCGGAGAUGGAGUUAUAUACACUGGAUCUCAGGACUGUACAAUCAAGGUAUGGGAAACCACGCAAAGGAAGCUAAUUCGUGAAUUGAAGGUCACAUAAACAAUCAGUAUCAUACUUGCUUCUGGAUGCUUGUUAAGUCUGCAAAGAGCAUAACUGAAGCUCAGAGCUACCGAAAGAUCUUGCAGCUUUUGAGAAGAGCACAAAAUUUCAUUGAAUAAUCUAUAGUACUUGACUCCACAAUUGUGCAACAAGGGUAGAUUUGGAAUUUCACAAUUGAGAAAAGAAGCCACCUUGAUCGACUUUUAGAAACAAUAAUUUGGAGGUUAGACCUGGUGAGAACAUUGCUAUAAGGGCGGAGGUGGGCUUAUGAAAGUCAAACUCUUCUGGCAGUAAUUAAUUCUUGGAGAGGUUCCAUGUAUCGAAGGAACUGUACGUUCAUAAUUUACUUCAUCUCUAUCAAUGUAAAUAUCCAACAAUCACUAUCAUAUGUAAAUGUGAGCAUCCAAUCAAAUGAGAGUCUCUUGCUGUUACAUCUUCAUUUUAUUCUACUAUACGCGUUGUUGUACGGGCAUACCUAUGUAGUAAAUAACAUAAAUACCAAUCCUUUUGGAAGUAAUUACACUCUCUUUCACUUUUUUAA